RNAcentral lists this ribosomal RNA (403 nucleotides) under uncultured bacterium. RNAcentral describes it as "partial 16S ribosomal RNA". It matches the Rfam family "Bacterial small subunit ribosomal RNA", at positions 28 to 526 of the family's 1533-position model. The record is from RNAcentral.
GACGAACGCUGGCGGCGUGCCUAAUACAUGCAAGUCGAACGCAGUGGGGACGGGUGCGUAACACGUGGGUAACCUCCCAUCAGAGGGGAUAACAAUUGGAAAAAGGUGCUAAACCGCUACUGGUGGAUGGACACGCGGUGCAUUAGCUAGUUGGUGAGGUAACGGCGCACCAAGGCCACGAGGCCUAGCCGACCGGAGAGGGGGAUCGGCCACACUGGGACUGAGACACGGCCCAGACUCCUACGGGAGGCAGCAGUAGGGAAUCGGCCGCAAGGGACGAAAGUCUGCCCGAGCAACGCCGCGUGAGUGAAGAAGGUUUUCGGAUCGUAAAGCUCUGUUGUUAGAGAAGCGGUAUCUACCCAGAAAGCCACGGCUAACUACGUGCCAGCAGCCGCGGUAAUAC